GAUGAAGAACGCAGCGAAAUGCGAUAAGUAAUGUGAAUUGCAGAAUUCAGUGAAUCAUCGAAUCUUUGAACGCACAUUGCGCCCCUUGGUAUUCCGAGGGGCAUGCCUGUUCGAGCGUCAUUAUAACCCCUCAAGCUCAGCUUGGUGUUGGGGCCUGCUACACUGGCAGCCCUUAAAAUCAGUGGCGGCGCCAUCUGGCUCUAAGCGUAGUAAUUCUUCUCGCUAUGGAGUCCUGGUGGAUGCUUGCCAUCAACCCCCAAUUUUUCUAUGGUUGACCUCGGAUCAGGUAGGGAUACCCGCUGAACUUAAGCAUAUCAAUAAGCGGAGGA
RNAcentral lists this unclassified non-coding RNA (329 nucleotides) under soil metagenome. RNAcentral describes it as "partial contains 5.8S ribosomal RNA, internal transcribed spacer 2, and large subunit ribosomal RNA". The stretch from base 1 to 120 matches the Rfam family "5.8S ribosomal RNA", at positions 35 to 154 of the family's 154-position model. The record is from RNAcentral.